Molecule: ribosomal RNA, 253 nt
Filed under: uncultured bacterium
Lineage: Bacteria
Description: partial 16S ribosomal RNA
Rfam family: Bacterial small subunit ribosomal RNA
Source: RNAcentral
UACAGAGGGUGCAAGCGUUGCUCGGAAUUACUGGGCGUAAAGCGUGUGUAGGCGGUCCUUCAAGUGGGGUGUGAAAGCCCUAGGCUCAACCUAGGAACUGCGCCCCAAACUGGAGGACUUGAGUGUCGGAGAGGAUAGUGGAAUUCCCAGUGUAGAGGUGAAAUUCGUAGAUAUUGGGAGGAACACCAGUGGCGAAGGCGGCUAUCUGGACGAACACUGACGCUGAGACACGAAAGCGUGGGGAGCAAACAGG